RNAcentral lists this ribosomal RNA (253 nucleotides) under uncultured bacterium. Its description in RNAcentral is "partial 16S ribosomal RNA". It matches the Rfam family "Bacterial small subunit ribosomal RNA", at positions 524 to 776 of the family's 1533-position model. The record is from RNAcentral.
UACGUAGGGAGCAAGCGUUGUCCGGAAUCAUUGGGCGUAAAGCGCGCGUAGGUGGCUUCGUAAGUCCGUUGUGAAAGUCAAAGGCUCAACCUUUGAAUGCCGAUGGAUACUGCGGAGCUAGAGUACGGAAGAGGCGAGUGGAAUUCCUGGUGUAGCGGUGGAAUGCGCAGAUAUCAGGAGGAACACCGGUGGCGAAGGCGGGACUCUGGGCCGAUACUGACGCUGAGGAGCGAAAGCGUGGGGAGCAAACAGG